This 111-nucleotide small nuclear RNA is filed under the name Erinaceus europaeus (western European hedgehog). The record is from RNAcentral. Lineage: Eukaryota; Metazoa; Chordata; Mammalia; Eulipotyphla; Erinaceidae.
GUGCUCGCUUCAGCAGCACAUAUACUAAAAAUUGGAGCGAUUGCAGAGCAGAUUAUCAUGGCCCCCUGCGCAAGGAUGACACACAAAAUUCGUGAAGCGAUCCAUAUUUUU